UAGUCCGAAUUGCAAAUGACGCUCCUAUUUCCAAGGAAGAGCCCAAGAGGCAAGAGCGUCGUGAUUCUCCGAACGAAAGAGCUCAGAGUAGAGGACCAGAGGCUCAUUGAAAGCACGUUUCGAAGGAGCCUGGGUUUUGUAGGGUUUUACGUCUCUAUCUGCAUUCUCCAUCGUUCCUGUCAUCGGCAACAAACCGAGCUUUAAUCUCAUGUUCAGGUUUCUUCAGAGCAAAGCUCGUAUUCAGAUUUGGCUUUUUGAGUAGAGGGGUCCAAGGAUUGAAGGCCAUAUUAUUAUUACUUGAAAUUGAAGAUGAGUGAUGCUACUAUGGCUAGUGAGGAGACUAAUACUUCUGAAGCCUUAUCUUCAAAAAUUUUUAAGAAGAAGAAACAAACAGCUACAAUAUGGGAUGACUGUGAUUUGACUGGUGACUUCAAGUUUGAUGCAGAAAGAAGUAGAUUGGAUCUUAUUCGCUUUAUAAUCUCUUAUUGGUUGUCCAUUUAAUAUUGUUGAGAAUCGAUUCUUUAAGAUAUUCUCCACAAAUCUCAACCCAUCUUUCAAAGUGGUUCCACAGACUAUACUAAAAAAUGAUUGCAUUAAGGUGUAUAAGGAAGAAAAGGAGAAGUUGUACAAAUACCUUGAUGAUCUCAACCGUAGGUUUAGUCUCACAAUAGACAUGUGGACGUCAACGCAAAGAUUGUCCUAUUGUGCAGUGACUGCGCAUUAUAUUACUGAUGAUUGGGUGUUAAAGCAUAAAGUGCUUGCUUUUACAGCUGUCAAGUCUCCUCAUGAUGGGGAAAAACUAUAUUCGACUGUCAUGGAUGUUGCGUUUGAGUGGAACAUCGGUAGGAGGUUGUUCUCCAUUACUGUAGAUAAUUCUUUUAACAAUGGUGUUAUGUUAGAGAAAUUAAGAAGCUUCUUUGUGAUCGAUCAAUGCUUCCUCUACGUGGUGAUUUUUUUCAUGUUCGUUGUAGUGCAGAUGUUCUCAAUUCUAUUGUGCAGGAUGGCUUGGGAGAGGUUACAGAAUUAUUACAUAAGAUACGUGAAAGUGUUAAGUAUGUAAGAUCCUCACCGCUUAGGGAGGAAAAGUUUGAAAAGGCUAGAAAUCAGGUGAAGGUAUUUUCCAAAAGGGAAGUCAUUGUUGAUACAUAGAUGGAAUUCCACAUAUGAAAUGUUGGAUUGUGCAUUAGAUAUGAAAGAAGCAUUCUGUCGUUUGGCUGUCCUAGAUCAGGAAUAUAAAAUGUGCCCAUCUAAGGAGGAGUGGAACAAAGGUUCAAUUAUUCGUGAUUGUUUGGAGAUUUUCUACACCACCAUUAAUGAAUGUUCUGGGAGAAAGUAUCCAACUGCUAACAUAUUAUUCCACAAUGCUUGUGGGAUUAAACUUGCGUUGUGCAAUUGGGAAAGUAGAGCAUCAUUUUUUGCGUUCAAUUGCAUACAAAAUGAAAGAAAAAUUUAAUAAAUAUUGAGAAGAUUGUAUUUUGAUUUUGGCAGUUGCAGUUAUUCUUGAUCCUAGAUUCAAGAUGAAGAUAGUUGAGUUUUAUUAUAAUAUGAUUUAUGGUGUUGAAUCUAAUGAGUAUGUUUUAAAAAUUCGGAUGGCUAUUUAUGAUCUCUUCAUGGAUUAUGUAGGAAGGUCAAGAGAUCCAUUGCCAUUAUAUACUAACUUCGAGAAAACUGGUCAUAGUAGUAAUUCACUAUCAAAGUAUGGGGUUGAUGCUAUAAAUUCUAAUGGUGGUGGUGAAGACUUGGCUGAUUUUGAGAAGUGGUGCAUUGAUCAAGGCAUUGUUUCCUCUAUAGUCCCUUGAAAAUCAGAACUGGACAUGUAUUUGGAGGAAGAUUUAUUUCCUCGAUCUAAGGACUUUGACGUAUUGGGAUAUUGGAGGAUAAAUCAUCUUAAAUGGCCUAGACUUGCAGCUAUUGGCUCAUGAUGUUUUAUCCAUUCCAACAACUAUUGUGGCAUCAGAGGCAGCCUUCAGUACUUCUGGUAGGGCUAUUUGCAAGUAUCAUAAACGUCUACGUCCAGAGGUUGUAGAGGUUUUGAUGUGUGGACAAAGUUGGUUAGAACCUCCAAUCAAAACAGAAACUGAUGUAGAAGUGGACGAAGAAGGUACAAAUUAUGAUGAGUCUGAAAAUGAAUUCAACUGGUUUGAGGUUUGAUGAUCACAUGAAACUGGUGUUGAAUGAGUAAAUCAUAUAAAGAAAAACAGCAUAAAGCCAUUCGGGAGCAUUCUUCCAGAAGGAUGUGAUAUCACUUUGCUGAUGAAGACACAAGUAAAUUGAAUAUUUUUCUUGUGACUCAUUUCCUUUCCCUAGCUAACAAAUGUUGCUUUCCACAUUUUAGUGGAAAAUGAUACCAACUCUGAAGUGAUUUGUUGUGUCAGUCGACUUUUCUUUUUCAAGUUAAAUGGAU
This is a non-coding RNA of Nelumbo nucifera (sacred lotus), 2404 nucleotides long. NCBI's taxonomy places the organism in Eukaryota, Viridiplantae, Streptophyta, Magnoliopsida, Proteales, Nelumbonaceae. The record is from RefSeq and is a predicted model, not a curated record.